AACGAGAUUACGCGAUUAAUGUAUCUAAAAAUAGAAGAAUCACGGUUUGUGUUGUGUGAAAUUUUAGACACAGGGCAAUUAAUCGACUAGCACGAUUCGACUACUUCAAGACUCGUGAUCAGACUAACUAGAAGGGAUCGCCAAGCUAAGGAAUUUGGAAUGGGUCAAGGCACUUCUGGACAGCCGAAUAAUAUGGAACUGCACUUUACCGUGAUACAACUUUUGCUCAUUCAUCGUCAACAUGGAACGGAGGAAUAAUUGGAUCACAGAUGCAUGCAAUAAAUAAACUUAUACAUAAAAAU
This 302-nucleotide long non-coding RNA is filed under the name Neodiprion pinetum (white pine sawfly). Its description in RNAcentral is "uncharacterized LOC124219996". Lineage: Eukaryota; Metazoa; Arthropoda; Insecta; Hymenoptera; Diprionidae. The record is from RNAcentral.